RNAcentral lists this ribosomal RNA (460 nucleotides) under uncultured bacterium. RNAcentral's name for it is "partial 16S ribosomal RNA". It matches the Rfam family "Bacterial small subunit ribosomal RNA", at positions 338 to 795 of the family's 1533-position model. The record is from RNAcentral.
CCUACGGGGGGCAGCAGUGAGGAAUAUUGGUCAAUGGCCGAGAGUCUGAACCAGCCAAGUAGCGUGAAGGAUGACUGCCCUAUGGGUUGUAAACUUCUUUUAUAUGGGAGUAAAGUGUUCCACGUGUGGGAUUUUGUAUGUACCAUAUGAAUAAGGAUCGGCUAACUCCGUGCCAGCAGCCGCGGUAAUACGGUGGAUCCGAACGUUAUCCGGAUUUAUUGGGUUUAAAGGGGGCGUAUGUGGAUUGUGCAGUCAGUUGUGAAAGUUUGGGGCUGAAACGUAAAAUUGCAGUUGAAACUGGCAGUCUUGAGUACAGUAGAGGUGGGCGGAAUGCGUGGUGUAGCGGUGAAAUGCAUAGAUAUCACGAAGAACUCCGAUUGCGAAGGCAGCUCACUGGACUGCAACUGACACUGAGGCUCGAAAGUGUGGGUAUCAAACAGGAUUAGAUACCCCAGUAGUC